CUACGGGUGGCUGCAGUGAGGAAUAUUGCACAAUGGGGGGAACCCUGAUGCAGCAACGCCGCGUGGAGGAUGACGCAUUUCGGUGUGUAAACUCCUUUUAUAUGUCAAGAAAAUGACGGUAGCAUAUGAAUAAGCACCGGCUAACUCCGUGCCAGCAGCCGCGGUAAUACGGAGGGUGCAAGCGUUACGCGGAAUCACUGGGCGUAAAGGACGCGUAGGCGGGUUGGAAAGUCAGGUGUGAAAUCCUACAGCUUAACUGUAGAACUGCACUUGAAACUUCUAAUCUAGAGUAUGGGAGGGGGAGAUGGAAUUAGUGGUGUAGGGGUAAAAUCCGUAGAUAUCGCUAGGAAUACCUAAAGCGAAGGCGAUCUCCUGGAACAUUACUGACGCUAAGGCGUGAAAGCGUGGGGAGCAAACAGGAUUAGAUACCCCUGUAGUC
RNAcentral lists this ribosomal RNA (439 nucleotides) under uncultured bacterium. RNAcentral's name for it is "partial 16S ribosomal RNA". It matches the Rfam family "Bacterial small subunit ribosomal RNA", at positions 339 to 795 of the family's 1533-position model. The record is from RNAcentral.